RNAcentral lists this ribosomal RNA (85 nucleotides) under Bos indicus x Bos taurus (hybrid cattle). The record is from RNAcentral. Lineage: Eukaryota; Metazoa; Chordata; Mammalia; Artiodactyla; Bovidae.
GGCUCCGGCCCUAUCAGCCUGAAGGCGCCCGAUCUCGUCUGAUCUCGGAAACAAAUGGCCUCAAGAAAAGAAACUGCUGAGGUCA